AACGUAGGGGGCAAGCGUUGUCCGGAUUUAUUGGGCGUAAAGAGCGUGUAGGCGGCUUUACAGGUCCGUUGUGAAAACUCGAGGCUCAACCUCGAGACGCCGGUGGAAACCGUAAGGCUAGAGUCCGGAAGAGGAGAGUGGAAUUCCUGGUGUAGCGGUGAAAUGCGUAGAUAUCAGGAGGAACACCGGUGGUGUAGACGGCUCACUGGACCGUAACUGACGCUGAGACACGAAAGCGUGGGUAGCAAACAGG
RNAcentral lists this ribosomal RNA (253 nucleotides) under uncultured bacterium. Its description in RNAcentral is "partial 16S ribosomal RNA". It matches the Rfam family "Bacterial small subunit ribosomal RNA", at positions 524 to 776 of the family's 1533-position model. The record is from RNAcentral.